GUGCUUGCUUCAGCAACACAUAUACUAAAAUUGGAACAAUACCGAGAUUAGCAUGGCCCUGCGCAAGAAUGACACAAAUUUGUGAAGUGUUCCAUAUUAGA
Small nuclear RNA from Myotis lucifugus (little brown bat), 101 nucleotides. The record is from Ensembl. NCBI's taxonomy places the organism in Eukaryota, Metazoa, Chordata, Mammalia, Chiroptera, Vespertilionidae.